UACGAAGGGGGCUAGCGUUGCUCGGACUCACUGGGCGUAAAGCGCACGUAGGCGGAUUGUUAAGUCAGGGGUGAAAUCCUGGAGCUCAACUCCAGAACUGCCUUUGAUACUGGCGAUCUUGAGUCCGGGAGAGGUGAGUGGAACUGCGAGUGUAGAGGUGAAAUUCGUAGAUAUUCGCAAGAACACCAGUGGCGAAGGCGGCUCACUGGCCCGGUACUGACGCUGAGGUGCGAAAGCGUGGGGAGCAAACAGG
This 253-nucleotide ribosomal RNA is filed under the name uncultured bacterium. RNAcentral describes it as "partial 16S ribosomal RNA". It matches the Rfam family "Bacterial small subunit ribosomal RNA", at positions 524 to 776 of the family's 1533-position model. The record is from RNAcentral.